Papaver somniferum (opium poppy) is the source of this 615-nucleotide long non-coding RNA. RefSeq lists it as uncharacterized. NCBI's taxonomy places the organism in Eukaryota, Viridiplantae, Streptophyta, Magnoliopsida, Ranunculales, Papaveraceae. The record is from RefSeq and is a predicted model, not a curated record. The transcript has 2 exons.
UAGGAGAUUGAGCUUUCUUCUUAGUUGACAUUCUAUCCAGUUGCUCUUUUUUUCCUUGAAAUAGUCUUGUCUAUAAGCUGGAUCUCUAAUGAAUUUAGCACGCACUUCAUCAAUCUGAAUAGUACUUGCCUCAUCUAGUUCCUCCUUAGUCAAAAUAUUAUCCAAAUCAAAAACAUUUUCCUCUAACCAUGCUUGAAUAUCCUUGUUAUGCUCACGGCUUGGACUUUCCUCAUUAGAUUGAAUUGGAAAAAAAAAAACAAGUUUUCUGUUGAACGAAGUUGAAUCUCCAUAACCCUAAUGACAUCUCUUUUAUCCAUACCCUUAUUCUAUUCUCUUCUUCUCUCUUUGUUUGCCUUCUCCACCUCUUUGGUUUUGUGAUAAAACCCUAACCCAUGUAUUAUUUUGCAGUUACAAUCAAUAAACCCUAACCCAUGUUUAUUUUGCAGGUACAAAAGAGCAAUAUCACAUUCUGUUAAUCGAUAUUUGGUUGGUAUAAAUUGCAGUGUGGAUUAUGUGAAUCGAUUCUUGCUAUCGUUUCUUCUUCUCAGCACUUUGGUCGUUGGUUUUAUUUUGAUUACAAGUUAUUUCAUUGAAAAAAACGGCAUUCCGGAAAAA